GGGGGCGAUCUGGAUUCGACGAGGGGAGGAAAUCAGAGCGGCAUGCCGGGGUCCUGUUGGCCCGUUAAACAAACAGGCUGCAAUUUAACUGCAGAUAAUUUUGAAUACGCCCUAGCUGCUUAGUUGUAGCUAGCGUCUUACCGGCUCUCUCCCGCGGAGUUGGAUAAGGCGUCGUUUAGCGGGAUGGACCAAUUCUCCUGCCGGAGGGGAUGAGGUCGAGAUCUAAACCGGCUGGUCCUGAGAGACCCUGCCACUGGGGGCUUG
Molecule: transfer-messenger RNA, 264 nt
Filed under: Deltaproteobacteria bacterium
Lineage: Bacteria; Pseudomonadati; Myxococcota; Myxococcia
Description: partial transfer-messenger RNA
Rfam family: transfer-messenger RNA
About the family: Bacterial tmRNA, also known as 10Sa RNA or SsrA, is named for its dual tRNA and mRNA-like properties. Its role is to liberate the mRNA from a stalled ribosome.
Source: RNAcentral